AUACGUACGCUGACGUAGUUGAUCACGUGGUUUUUGGCGUAGAUCCCCCUGCGAACGCCGAUUUUUUCCGGCUGUUGUCUGGCGGAUUCGGUCGAAUCUGUAGAAUAAAUCGUCGUAUUCGGUUGUUAUCGUGUUGUAAGACCCGUUUUGGACCCCGUUUAACGGUGCUCGGCAUUACAGCGCAUCAUACGCGGUAGACAGAUUGGGUGAUCUGGGAUGAAGUCUCAUGAAUUCCCUCAUUGGAGCUGACAUUAACAGUCAGCAGGAACAAGUGCAUAUUCUUCACAAGACAGAAACAUCCCAUCGUUUCCCCUCUACAACGUCCGUCUAACAGUCCCAGGGGACGUACGCACGCCAUGGCCAGCCGGAGGAAGACCACGACCCCUUGUAGAGCUGAUGCUGUUUUUCGAGGUGAUGACAUGAUGGGGCAAGAGGAUCCAGGUGAGAUGGAGGUGGAGGUAUCGGCGAAUGACAAAAGCACAGUGGUGAAUGGAUCCACAGAGAUGCUUCCUGGAGAGGACUGGAGCUCCGGGACAGAGCCUAGUGGUUCACGUCAGGAGUCGCUGGCCCCUCAGAAACCUAAUGCGGUGGAUUCAAGGCCUCAGAGGAAGCAGCAGGGAGGCUAUGAAUGCAAGUACUGUCCGUUCUCUACCCAGAACCUGAAUGAGUUCAAGGAACACGUGGACUCCAAUCACCCCAAUGUCAUUCUCAACCCGCUCUACCUGUGUGCUGUGUGCAACUUCAACACAAAGAAGUUUGACACCUUGACAGAGCACAACGAGAGGUGUCAUCCGGGGGAGAGCAACUUCAAGUUCAAGAGAAUCAAGCUGAACAAUCAGACCAUCCUAGAGCAGUCGAUAGAAGGAGCGAGCAACGCUGUGGUCUGUGAUUCAACCAACGGCAUUCAGACAGGAGAAGACUUCGCCACUUUCCCCCUGAGCAAAUCCACCACAGUGAAGAUUAGUAAGCCAAAAACAGACAACAAACGGUUAUUCACAGAAAGUCAACCGGACAGACUCGACCACGAGCUCCCCAGAAAGCAGAUCGCCGCCGUGAAUGUGACCGGGACCGUGAUCAUCCCAGAAGCGUCCCUAAAAGAUGGCGUCUCUCAUAUCAUGCCUUCUCUUCAGCGCCCGCCUAACUACAACUUAGUACCAAAAAUCGCUGUCCCUUUGAACACCUCCAAGUACAACCCUUCACUGGACAGUAACAUGACACUCAUCACAUCCUUCACCAAGUUCCCGUACCCGACCCAGGCGGAGCUGUCCUGGCUUACCGUUGCCUCCAAGCACCCCGAGGAACAGAUCAAGGUGUGGUUCACCCUCCAGAGACUGAAGCAAGGCAUCAGCUGGUCCCCUGAAGAGGUGGAAGAAGCUCGGAAGAAGAUGUUCAACGGCACCAUCCAGUCGGUCCCACAGACCACCUUCACCGUGCUGAGCGGCGCCCAGAUGGCUCAGUCCACCAAAGGACAACAGUCUCUAGUUCAAUCCGUCCCCUUCAACCUCCUGGGACAGACCAGUUAUGUGUUGACGCCGGUUGCGAACGGCUCAGCUGUCAGUUGUUCUCCCAUCACACUAACCAUGGCAAACCAGGUCGUGCAGUCAGUCAAGCGACCCUUGGUAGCUCCAGUAGUGGCCGCUUCAGAGAUCAAACGUCCCUCCAUAAUCCAGACGAUUCAGGCACCUACAUCUAGACUGGUGGCUUCGCCUAAACCUAGCUUCACUUCAGACGCUAAUAAAACCCCGGACCAGAUUGCUGUACUGAAAGCGAGUUACACCCAGUGCCAGUUCCCUGAAGAGGAGGAAGUGUACCGCCUCAUUGAGUCCACCGGCCUCUCUAGAGGAGAAAUCAAGAAGUGGUUCAGUGAGCAACGACUCCUCAAUCACAAGGUGGCGCCACAGGUGAUCAAGAUUGAGCCCCAGGCAUUGAAAGACAGUCAGCCCAAAAAGGCUGUGCCCACCCAGUUUCCUCUCCUGGAGAGGCUCAAAGGCAAAUCCUCUGAGCAGCUCAAGAUGCUAGAGGAGAGUUUUCAGAGGACCAGCUCCCCCACUGAAAUUGACAUUGACAACCUCGUUGUGGACACAAGGCUCUCCAAGACUGAGAUCGACUGCUGGUUCUCAGAGCGCAGAGCACUGCGGGACAACUUGGAGCAAGCCCUGGCAAACUCCAUGUGUCCGAAGAGCCUUGAGGAGCAACGAGGGAUACUGAACAGUGUUUACGAACAGGACAGCAAAGUCCGGUGCUCACCUCUUCCCAUCGUCACCACUUCCACCAGUCCUGAGCCCAUCGACAGGAAAUCCCUAGGGCUUCUCAAAGAGGUGUUCACCCAGACCCAGUGGCCGUCGCCAGAAGAGUACAGCCAGCUGGAGGGACAGACAGGUUUGUCUCGCACAGAGAUUGUCCGCUGGUUCAAGGAAAACCGAUCCGCCCUGAAGAACGGAACCUUGGACUGGAUGGAACAGUUCCAGAAAGUCAACGGCAAAGCAGGACAGAACGGUCAGAGCUCGUCAGGCAUCACCGAACGACCCCCAAGCAGCAUUCUCCAGCAGCACUUCACGGAAGCCAAGACCACGCUGCUUUCAGCAGAGGACGCAGAGAAGCUUCCUUUGCAGUCGAAACUCAUCAACCAGGACAUAGUCCAGUGGUUUACCAGUAAGCUGGGCCAGAGUAUGACAGACAUCAGCAGGGGCAGGGACCAACAUGGACAGGCCAACGUGGACAGAAGCAGAUGGGUGAAGGUGACCAUGGCUGUAGGGGACGAGACUAAAGGUGCUUUGGAGAACCAGAAGAUCGGCUCGGAAGCAGAGGUGCUGAUGGGAGACCAACCUGGUCGGGUGACUGGAUGAGAAGAGCAUGAGCGAUGGCUAGCAACAAUCUAGCAGCUGUGGCUUUGAACCACGCGGGAUGCCUGUAAUUUAGCCUUCAGAAAAACAUCUUGGCAGGAAGAGGCUAUUGAGAUUAUACACAUGUGGUUAUCACUGGGGAUUUUCCCCCCCUGGUGAACAGAAAAGCACCUCUGAUAGCCUGCUGUAUGGAGGAUACUGAGUUUCUCAGGCAGAAGAUUCUCAAGAUUGUUGAAUUCUGGAACCAAUGAUUUCCUACCUGGCCUGUGACAUCAGCACAGUGGACAGUAGAGUCCACGCCAAACACCGACUGGCAAAGACCAUUGAGUGCCAAAGCUGGACUUGAUGCAUUAUUAUUAUUAUUAUUAUUAUUAUUAUUAUUAUCAUUACACUUAAUAAAUAAAAAAAGGGCCCUUGUAAAUAUUUUUCUGUAUUGCAAAAGCUUUGUAAACAUUUUGGGGGUUGCUGGUUUUUACAUUUCUAACAGGAGUCAAUAACCCCUAAAAGAGGAAUGUUUUGGUUUUUAAUGACUGUGAUGGAAAUUGUAAACCAAUUCAUCAGUUGGUAAUUCUUUUCUUUUUAACAAAACAUUUAGUGACCGACAGCUGGUCAUAGAUGGCACUUAUUUCAAGUGGAUAGACUAGUAACACUUCUGAUCUGAUAACCAGUGUGUUCAUCCAUUUGGACUAAAGGGACUAGUGGUUCUCUACCAGACCAUAGAAUCACCUAGCCUGGGUUCCAGGAGUGGAAUGAUGGCACAAAACAGGUCUGCUACCCAGGCUAAGAAUCACAUACUUACAUUACAAUAACAGUUCUCCCUUCAGCAUUCAUGCUGAAUGCUCCUGCUGCCUGAGACGACAGUCAGCCACAGAAUGGACAUUAAUACAUUUUUUAAAAACAAGAAAAUGCACUGUACAUGUUUUUUGUAGUUCAGUCUCAUUUUUGAAUUGCAGCGUCCGUUGCAUCAGUGACUGGUCUUUUCUCGUGUUGGCUUUCUAGAUAUCCAUAGAUAUCCUAGGUGUAGUUAGGCUCCAUUUUUCAAUGGCUCGCUCCUUCAGUUUCAUGCUGCUUCUAUUAGUGAAUCAUGUUCACACAUGUAUCUGGAAUACUGUACUGCUACCAAGAAUCUCUUUACUUCCUGGUUUGUUUUUUAUUUAUCCGUCUGCUGUAACUCAAUAAAACACAACCAACUGAA
Oncorhynchus mykiss (rainbow trout) is the source of this 4038-nucleotide non-coding RNA. NCBI's taxonomy places the organism in Eukaryota, Metazoa, Chordata, Actinopteri, Salmoniformes, Salmonidae. The record is from RefSeq and is a predicted model, not a curated record.